RNAcentral lists this non-coding RNA (32 nucleotides) under Homo sapiens (human). The record is from RNAcentral. Lineage: Eukaryota; Metazoa; Chordata; Mammalia; Primates; Hominidae.
UGAUCAGUCUGUUCCAGGAAUAAUACCUACCU